RNAcentral lists this unclassified non-coding RNA (161 nucleotides) under uncultured Pseudeurotium. Its description in RNAcentral is "sequence contains ITS1". The record is from RNAcentral. Lineage: Eukaryota; Fungi; Ascomycota; Leotiomycetes; Thelebolales; Pseudeurotiaceae.
CAGAGUUCAUGCCCUUCGGGGUAUACCUCCCACCCUUUGUUUACCGUACCUUUGUUGCUUUGGCAGGCCCGUCUUCGGACCGCCGGCUUCGGCUGGUCUGCGCCUGCCAGAGGACCCAAAACUCUGUCUGUCUGUGUCGUCUGAGUACUAUAUAAUAGUUA